AAGCCAACCUUGUCCCAUUUCCCUACCAUGGCCCAGGGUCUUCCUCUCCUCUUCCUCCUGUUCACCUCCUGGACUGGUGCCUUGGCCCAGGGUACACUGACUCAACCACCCGCUGCAUCUACAUCCCCUGGAGAAACAGUGAGGAUCCCCUGUACCAGGAGCAGCGGUAGCAUUACAAGCUACUAUGUGUCCUGGUAUCAACAGAAACCCGGCAGUGUCCCCAAACUGAUGUUAUAUAAAUACAGCGAGAGACCCACAGGAAUCCCAGACCGGUUCACCGGUUCUACGGACAGUUCUGCCAACUCUGCCACCUUAACCAUCUCCAACACUCAAGCAGAGGAUGCGGCUGAUUAUUACUGCUUUUCUUAUGUUGGCAAUGACCAGUGCACAGUGGUGUCUCCAGGUGGGACCGUCACCUUCUCUUGCCGGCAGAGCAGUGGAACUGUCUCUGAUGGCAACUACCCUUGUUGGGCCCAGCAGAGACAGGGGAAUGCUCCACGAGGUCUUAUACACAGCACCAGCACCAGACUACCUGGCAUCCCAGACCGUUUCAGUGGGUCGAGGUCAGGGGACACGAUGUCCCUAACUAUCACGGGGGCCAUGGUUGAAGAUGAAGCUGACUAUUACUGUGUUUCCUGGAUUGGGAGAAUCUUUGGGAAAAAGUCUUUGGGAUUCCUGGUGGAGUUGGUGACCUGUUUAAAUCACUAA
This is a non-coding RNA of Gekko japonicus, 708 nucleotides long. NCBI's taxonomy places the organism in Eukaryota, Metazoa, Chordata, Lepidosauria, Squamata, Gekkonidae. The record is from the annotation of a RefSeq genome assembly.